Molecule: ribosomal RNA, 253 nt
Filed under: uncultured bacterium
Lineage: Bacteria
Description: partial 16S ribosomal RNA
Rfam family: Bacterial small subunit ribosomal RNA
Source: RNAcentral
UACGGGGGGAGCAAGCGUUGUUCGGAUUUACUGGGCGUAAAGGGCGCGUAGGCGGCACCGCAAGUCAGUUGUGAAAUCUCUGGGCUUAACCCAGAAAGGUCAACUGAUACUGCGGGGCUAGAGUGCAGAAGGGGCAACUGGAAUUCUCGGUGUAGCGGUGAAAUGCGUAGAUAUCGGGAGGAACACCAGAGGCGAAGGCGGCCACCUGGACAGAGAUUGACGCUGAGACGCGAAAGCGUGGGGAGCAAACAGG